GGCUCCGUAGCUUAAUUGGAUAGAGCACCUGACUACGGAUCAGGAGGUUGCAGGUUCGAGUCCUGCCGGAGUCACCA
This 77-nucleotide transfer RNA is filed under the name Bacteroidota bacterium. RNAcentral describes it as "Bacteroidetes bacterium tRNA-Arg". It matches the Rfam family "tRNA". From Rfam's summary of the family: Transfer RNA (tRNA) molecules are approximately 80 nucleotides in length. The record is from RNAcentral. Lineage: Bacteria; Pseudomonadati; Bacteroidota.